CAACCUCAACUCAUAUGGGACUACCCCCUGAAUUUAAGCAUAUUAAUUAGGGGAGGAAAAGAAACUAACAAGGAUUUUCUUAGUAGCGGCGAGCGAAAAGAAAACAGUUCAGCACUAAGUCACUUUGUCUAUAUGGCAAAUGUGAGAUGCAGUGUAUGGAGCGUCAAUAUUCUAGUAUGAGAAAUUAAUGAUUUAAGUCCUUCUUAAAUGAGGCCAUUUACCCAUAGAGGGUGCCAGGCCCGUAUAACGUUAAUGAUUGCUAGAUGAUGUUUCCAAAGAGUCGUGUUGCUUGAUAGUGCAGCACUAAGUGGGUGGUAAACUCCAUCUAAAACUAAAUAUAACCAUGAGACCGAUAGUAAACAAGUACCGUGAGGGAAAGUUGAAAAGAACUCUGAAUAGAGAGUUAAACAGUACGUGAAACUGCUUAGAGGUUAAGCCCGAUGAACCUGAAUAUCCGUUAUGGAAAAUUCAUCAUUAAAUUGUAAUAUUUAAAUAAUAUAUUUAAGAAUAAUGUGCAUUUUUUCCCAUAUAAGGACAUUGUAAUCUAUUAGCAUAUCCCAAAUUUAUCAUAAAAUAUAACUUAUAGUUUAUUCCAAUUAAAUUGCUUGCAUUUUAACACAGAAUAAAUGUUAUUAAUUUGAUAAAGUGCUGAUAGAUUUAUAUUAUUACAGAGCGUUAAUUUUUCGGAAUUAUAUAAUGGCAUAAUUAUCAUUGAUUUUUGUGUUUAUUAUAUGCUCUUGUAUGAUUAACAAUGCGAAAGAUUCAGGAUACCUUCGGGACCCGUCUUGAAACACGGACCAAGGAGUCUAACAUAUGUGCAAGUUAUUGGGAUGUAAACCUAAUAGCGUAAUUAACUUGACUAAUAAUGGGAUUAGUUUUUUAGCUAUUUAUAGCUAAUUAACACAAUCCCGGGGCGUUCUAUAUAGUUAUGUAUAAUGUAUAUUUAUAUUAUUUAUGCCUCUAACUGGAACGUACCUUGAGCAUAUAUGCUGUGACCCGAAAGAUGGUGAACUAUACUUGAUCAGGUUGAAGUCAGGGGAAACCCUGAUGGAAGACCGAAACAGUUCUGACGUGCAAAUCGAUUGUCAGAAUUGAGUAUAGGGGCGAAAGACCAAUCGAACCAUCUAGUAGCUGGUUCCUUCCGAAGUUUCCCUCAGGAUAGCUGGUGCAUUUUAAUAUUAUAUAAAAUAAUCUUAUCUGGUAAAGCGAAUGAUUAGAGGCCUUAGGGUCGAAACGAUCUUAACCUAUGCUCACACUUUAAAUGGGUCAGAACCUUAUCUUUCUUGAUAUGGAGUUUAAGGUUAUGAUAUAAUGUGCCCAGUGGACCACGUUUGGUAAGCAGAACUGGCGCUGUGGUAUGAACCAAACGUAAUGUUACGGUGCCCAAAUUAACAACUCAUGCAGAUACCAUGAAAGGCGUUGGUUGCUUAAAAAGCAGGACGGUGAUCAUGGUAGUCGAUAUCCGCUAAAGAAGUGUGUAACAACUCAACUGCCGAGCAACUAGCCUCUUAACUGGAUGGCGCUUAGGUUGUAUGCGUAUACAUCACCGCUCAAGCAGAUAAUUAUAUUAUUUG
Molecule: non-coding RNA, 1574 nt
Filed under: Drosophila sechellia
Lineage: Eukaryota; Metazoa; Arthropoda; Insecta; Diptera; Drosophilidae
Description: Eukaryotic large subunit ribosomal RNA
Rfam family: Eukaryotic large subunit ribosomal RNA
Source: Rfam by way of RNAcentral